GAUGAACGCUGGCGGCGUGCUUAACACAUGCAAGUCGAGCGAGUGAGUUCUUCGGAACAAUCUAGCGGCGGACGGGUGAGUAACACGUGGGCAACCUGCCUCAUAGAGGGGAAUAGCCUUCCGAAAGGAAGAUUAAUACCGCAUAACAUCGUUGAAGGGCAUCCUUCGAUGAUCAAAGGAGCAAUCCGCUAUGAGAUGGGCCCGCGGCGCAUUAGCUAGUUGGUGAGGUAACGGCUCACCAAGGCGACGAGGCGUAGCCGACCUGAGAGGGUGAUCGGCCACAUUGGGACUGAGACACGGCCCAGACUCCUACGGGAGGCAGCAGUGGGGAAUAUUGCACAAUGGGGGAAACCCUGAUGCAGCAACGCCGCGUGAGUGAUGACGGCCUUCGGGUUGUAAAGCUCUGUCUUUGGGGACGAUAAUGACGGUACCCAAGGAGGAAGUCACGGCCAACUACGUGCCAGCCGCCGCGGUAA
Molecule: ribosomal RNA, 476 nt
Filed under: uncultured bacterium
Lineage: Bacteria
Description: partial 16S ribosomal RNA
Rfam family: Bacterial small subunit ribosomal RNA
Source: RNAcentral